CCUAUGGAAAAUCCAAAAUAGCCAUUAAUGUACUUAGAUUUUCAAAGGCAAUUAGUGGCAUCAUUUUGGAAUUCACUAACUUUUUCUUUAAUAGGUUCUGUUACUCUUAGAAAAUGAGGUAUUUUCAAUGAGAGAAAUUUAACAUUCUUUUUUUUUUUCCCCUCUCAUGACAACAGUACCCUACAAAUCAGUGCCAAAUGAUGCACAAAAAUCCCUGGGUAUCUUAAAGAGGAAAAAA
This 238-nucleotide long non-coding RNA is filed under the name Bos taurus (domestic cattle). RNAcentral describes it as "long non-coding RNA NONBTAT016446". Lineage: Eukaryota; Metazoa; Chordata; Mammalia; Artiodactyla; Bovidae. The record is from RNAcentral.